This is a non-coding RNA of Dermacentor andersoni, 403 nucleotides long. Lineage: Eukaryota; Metazoa; Arthropoda; Arachnida; Ixodida; Ixodidae. The record is from RefSeq and is a predicted model, not a curated record.
UUGACUUUGAAGUUACUGAGAUUAAUGGGCUGAUGAGUGUCGAUAUAAAGACUAUAGAACAGAUUUUGCCAACAGGAAAUGCACCAGAAGAGUUUCCUUACACUUACGUUGUGUUGAAGGUUGCUCAGGAUUGUCUACUUGUCGCAUAUGGUGAAUCAAGUGAUGGACGGGUAAAGUGUCUGCUUUGGGGAUUAUCCAGAAAAAAUGUUAACAAAGAUACAGAGUGCUAUAAGGUCCUCGCCUUGUAUUGCACCGAAGAUUUGUACGAUGUGACGGAAACUGAAGGUCCGUGCCAGCAAUACGAUCGUGACGAAGACAGACGUAACAAGAAAGCAGAGCAGGAGGAAGAAACACUUUAGCGCCGUGUCCAACAAAUUUUCGAAAAUAAAAGAACCCUGUCAGU